This 62-nucleotide transfer RNA is filed under the name Euphyllura phillyreae. RNAcentral describes it as "tRNA-Leu". Lineage: Eukaryota; Metazoa; Arthropoda; Insecta; Hemiptera; Liviidae. The record is from RNAcentral.
CUAUAGUGACAGAUAAAUGUAUUAAAUUUAAGAUUUAAGUAUGAAAAUUAUUCCUUUAGAAA